Molecule: ribosomal RNA, 466 nt
Filed under: uncultured Pseudomonadota bacterium
Lineage: Bacteria; Pseudomonadati; Pseudomonadota
Description: bacterial SSU rRNA
Rfam family: Bacterial small subunit ribosomal RNA
Source: RNAcentral
CCUACGGGGGGCUGCAGUGAGGAAUAUUGCGCAAUGGGGGAAACCCUGACGCAGCGACGCCGCGUGAGUGAUGAAGGCCUUCGGGUUGUAAAGCUCUGUCAGAGGGAAAGAAAGGGUAGACGGCUAAUACCCGUCUACAUUGACGGUACCCUCAGAGGAAGCACCGGCUAACUCCGUGCCAGCAGCCGCGGUAAUACGGAGGGUGCUAGUGUUAUUCGGAAUCACUGGGCGUAAAGAGCACGUAGGCGGAUAGGUAAGUCAGAUGUGAAAUCCCGGAGCUCAACUUCGGAACUGCAUUUGAUACUGCCUGUCUUGAGUGUGGUAGAGGGGGAUGGAAUUCCCGGUGUAGAGGUGAAAUUCGUAGAUAUCGGGAGGAACACCAGAGGCGAAGGCGAUCCCCUGGGCCACUACUGACGCUGAGGUGCGAAAGCGUGGGGAGCAAACAGGAUUAGAUACCCCGGUAGUC